Long non-coding RNA from Thamnophis sirtalis, 1937 nucleotides. RefSeq lists it as uncharacterized. The record is from RefSeq and is a predicted model, not a curated record. Lineage: Eukaryota; Metazoa; Chordata; Lepidosauria; Squamata; Natricidae.
AGCAGAUGGACAAGCUCAGAAUGAAGAAUCAAAGCCUCAUUUGUAAAGUUCAAGAACAAGUGGAGAAGGCGGAACUCCUGAGAGAAAAUAAUCUUAAAGAACAGAAAAUGGUAAUUUCAAAGUUGUCAGAAACAGAAGAAUCAAAUGAAGAACGAAAAGCCUAAGUUUUAACAUCUUGAAAUAAUUGAAGAAAAAGAGGUGUUCUGCAAAGAUUUCAAAGAAAGACUGAGCAGGGGAGUCUGUGGAAUCGCAGAGUCUUUGAUUCUUUCUCCAGCCUGGAGAGAGGAUGGUCCAGCCAGCAACAUUUGAAGAAACCAGGUGAGUUCCAGGCACCACAUCCAUUCCUGUCCAAAGCUGCUACAUGGCUUAAGAAGAGAGACAACCAUGUGACAAAAAAGCAGCAUCAAUCAUAUACUCAAUAGAGGAAAAACCCAGAUUUGCCAAAACUCAAGCAUUUCGUAAUCCAACUCCACACCAUCAACCUGCUGCAGCAUAAUAAAACUGACCAGUGUUUGCAUCUGUUUCACAACACACGUAGCCUCGGCGCCAUCUUCGAACAUCAACAUUGCAGUUCAAUAGCAGAAAGAUCCAUCCUUGAAGUGAUGAAGAUAAUCUAAGGAUUUAAAAGCAUAAAUAUCAGGAUUUAUUCUAUUUUAAGGUCAGAAGGGUAGAACAGAGUAACUACAACGUUUACAUGUAAUAAUUGAAAGUUGUAGAUGGGACAAAUGAAGGGAUCUGCGAUAGCGUGAAAGUCCUUUUCAUCUAUUGUUCAUCCUUGGCUAAACAGCAGUGGGAGUCAAGAUGUCACAGCUUCUCUACUGUUAAGUCACCUGCCUGGGGAAAAAGGGUGAGACACACACACCUUUAAUGUUUACAAAAGAAAGUUACCUUCAUUAAUGAAACCAUCCUCAUUUUCAGUCAGUCCAAUUUCCAGUGGAAAUUGUGGAAAUGUCUUCUGGACUUUAGUAAGUUGAAAGAGAAAACAAAGAAGCCCAUCGUAUUGUUGCCAAAGUGUCUGGCAGAAUCAUUCUCCAUCUUCCCUUGGACCCAUCAAUGCAAGUAUUAGCAGCGAGACAUCCCAUCCAGGGAUUCCCUAGUCCACCAUCAAACAGAACGAAAGGAAAAAGAACACUCUGCUCUUUUCUCCCUAGAGAGGUUUUAUGGUGUUGGGGCCUCAAACACAGUGGGGGACCCAAAGUUUCCAAUUUUGUUUUUCUUUUGGUCAAGAUUCAUGUGCAAUUUUAGGGUAUGUUCAUUAGGGCUUUAAAACCACCCUCCCUCUAUGGCUACUCCCAGCUUCUUAAAUCCCAGGCACUUUGGAGGGAGGAUGCUUUGGGAUGGCAUUUCAAGCAAAGGACCCUAUAAAUACUUUUGGUCUCUUAUUUGCAAUUCUGGCCAUGGAGCAUUACAAUUAAAGUGACCUCUUCAAGAAGAGGUCCUUGCAUGAAGAGAAACCGCUCUUGUGACAAGCCAAAUUCCCAGAUACCUGAUAUCUGUCCUAAGAGCAAUCCCCCACUUAGACUAUUCCCAUAUAUUGGAACAUUUCACUGGAGUUCUAACACUGGAUUCAUUGAAUGUUUAUAGGCCCAAUUUUCCUGCAAGCUCCCCUAUGUACUUCGAUGCCCUUACUUUGAAAAUAAAAAUUAAAUGCUCUGUUGUUACUGAUUGCUGAAGAAGACCUCAGAGCAUGAGGCCAAAGGCAGCCUCUAGCAAUUUCUUCUCUCCCCAAAACAAAAAACAGAGGUGAUGACUUGUGGAACUUUUCCCCAGCCAUUCCAAUACCAGAAAGGAAGUCUCAGAAAUGUUGCUGAAGUUGAAAUCUCUGAAACAUUCUCCUCUCCAAUUUUCAUGGAGGACAACCACAUGAACCCUAAGAUGUCCAGUAGACGAGAUUCAACAUGUGGGUCCUUGGCUGGUGGAACUUUCCUGAGAGAUCA